This 337-nucleotide unclassified non-coding RNA is filed under the name Hevea brasiliensis (rubber tree). The record is from RNAcentral. Lineage: Eukaryota; Viridiplantae; Streptophyta; Magnoliopsida; Malpighiales; Euphorbiaceae.
UGGCAUUCCUCAAAUGUUGCCAUCGAGACAAGACAUUUCAACUCUUAAUUGUUGGCGGCCUACAUAAGAGGUGUUAUUUCUUUCCAAUUGCUGAAUAUGGAAUUGGAACACCAAUUGAUUUGUACUGUAAAGAAAGAUCAGCUUUGUGCAUAAAUUCUGUACAACUUGAAGGCGCUGUCUAGACUUUUGGAGGCUCUCGGCCGAACUGUGUACAUAGUAGUUAUCCUGACAAACUUGAUCCAGGAACAUUUGCUCCCAAGUGUAGGCCCAUGUUUCUGACCUGGUCUUGAUAGAAUUUUUAAGAUAGAGAAAGAUGAACAAAUUUUGAGAUUCUCGA